AAUGCAUUCAGGUGUAUUGGUUCUGGUGCCUAUAGUGUCCCUUUAAAUUUGAAGUAAAUUUUGAAUUCUUUCUUUUGUGGGAUGCCACGUCUUCCUGCUUCUGCAUCUUAGUAGAAGUCGGAAACAAAUCCACUUCCCAUUCUUUGGCAGAGGGUAUCAACGGACAACUCUCAGACUAUGACUAUGAAUGCAAUUCUCUUCAUAUGAACAUGC
Pelobates cultripes (western spadefoot toad) is the source of this 213-nucleotide non-coding RNA. The record is from the annotation of a GenBank genome assembly. NCBI's taxonomy places the organism in Eukaryota, Metazoa, Chordata, Amphibia, Anura, Pelobatidae.